AUCUAUAUGAGAUUCCAUUUUCUGUUCCCCAGGAUCCCUGAGGUCAGGUCAAGUUGGCAAGUAGACAUAGACAUAUUAUACCCCCCCAUCCCAUCUCUAGGUGGGCACGAUUGCCAGUGGCAGGCUAGAAGAGCAGGGCAAUAGUGUGUGGCAACAUUCCGAUAUCCUACAUCUAUCAGGAGAGAUGGGAUGCUUUGAGUCAGUCACUGGCAAGCUUCUUUAUUUGCAUGAUAAGAGGGCUUCUUUCUGAUUUCGGCUUUUCUGUUGUGCUGCCUUUUUUUUUGGCAGGCUCCCAGAGUGAAUGGGCAUUGGUCAGUGGGGCUUGCGGCCCUAUCUCCCCAGGGAGGGAGAAGAUCUGGGGAGGCAUGCCCCCAUCCCCAAGCCAAUGAGCUCCGGAAGCUCCUCCUGGAAAAGCUAAUUAUUGAGUUCUGAAGUUUGCAUACCUAACUGUUCACUUACGGUAUCUCACAGUCUAAUUAAUUCAUAGCCACAUGCAUAGAGUUUAUUGCAUUUGCAACUAUGCAGCAUCAAAUUGUUGCAAAGGGACCUCUGGAAAGGACUGUC
This 564-nucleotide long non-coding RNA is filed under the name Homo sapiens (human). RNAcentral describes it as "HSALNT0251081". Lineage: Eukaryota; Metazoa; Chordata; Mammalia; Primates; Hominidae. The record is from RNAcentral.